RNAcentral lists this ribosomal RNA (378 nucleotides) under uncultured bacterium. RNAcentral describes it as "bacterial SSU rRNA". It matches the Rfam family "Bacterial small subunit ribosomal RNA", at positions 28 to 404 of the family's 1533-position model. The record is from RNAcentral.
GACGAACGCUGGCGGCGUGCUUAACACAUGCAAGUCGAGCGGUAAGGCCCUUUCGGGGGUACACGAGCGGCGAACGGGUGAGUAACACGUGGGUGACCUGCCCUCAGCUCUGGGAUAAGCCUGGGAAACCGGGUCUAAUACCGGAUAUGACUCCAUGACGCAUGUUGUGGGGUGGAAAGCCUUGUGCGGCUGAGGAUGGGCCCGCGGCCUAUCAGCUUGUUGGUGGGGUGAUGGCCUACCAAGGCGACGACGGGUAGCCGGCCUGAGAGGGCGACCGGCCACACUGGGACUGAGACACGGCCCAGACUCCUACGGGAGGCAGCAGGUGGGGAAUCUUGCGCAAUGGGACGAAAGCCCUGACGCAGCGACGCCGCGUGA